Molecule: ribosomal RNA, 292 nt
Filed under: uncultured bacterium
Lineage: Bacteria
Description: partial 16S ribosomal RNA
Rfam family: Bacterial small subunit ribosomal RNA
Source: RNAcentral
GUGCCAGCAGCCGCGGUAAUACGUAGGCAGCGAGCGUUGUUCGGAGUUACUGGGCGUAAAGAGUGCGUAGGUGGUUUUCUAAGUUUGGUGUGAAAUCUCCCGGCUUAACUGGGAGGGUGCGCCGAAAACUGGGAGACUGGAGUGUGGGAGAGGAAAGCGGAAUUCCUGGUGUAGCGGUGAAAUGCGUAGAUAUCAGGAGGAACACCUGCGGUGUAGACGGCUUUCUGGACCACUACUGACACUGAGGCACGAAAGCGUGGGUAGCAAACAGGAUUAGAAACCCCGGUAGUCC